UGGGGAAUAUUGGGCAAUGGAGGCAACUCUGACCCAGCAACGCCGCGUGAGCGAUGAAGGUCUUCGGAUUGUAAAGCUCUUUAAGCGGGGACGAAGAAAGUGACUGUACCCGCAGAAUAAGCCUCGGCUAACUACGUGCCAGCAGCCGCGGUAAUACGUAGGAGGCAAGCGUUAUCCGGAAUGACUGGGCGUAAAGGGUGCGUAGGUGGUUUGGCAAGUUGGUAGCGUAAUCCCGGGGCUCAACCUCGGUGCUACUACCAAAACUGUUGAACUUGAGUGCAGGAGGGGUGAAUGGAAUUCCCAGUGUAGCGGUGGAAUGCGUAGAUAUUGGGAAGAACACCAGCGGCGAAGGCGAUUCACUGGACUGUAACUGACACUGAGGCACGAAAGCGUGGGGAGCAAACAGG
This 407-nucleotide ribosomal RNA is filed under the name uncultured bacterium. RNAcentral's name for it is "bacterial SSU rRNA". It matches the Rfam family "Bacterial small subunit ribosomal RNA", at positions 355 to 776 of the family's 1533-position model. The record is from RNAcentral.